RNAcentral lists this ribosomal RNA (814 nucleotides) under uncultured bacterium. RNAcentral's name for it is "bacterial SSU rRNA". It matches the Rfam family "Bacterial small subunit ribosomal RNA", at positions 8 to 794 of the family's 1533-position model. The record is from RNAcentral.
AGAGUUUGAUCAUGGCUCAGGACGAACGCUGGCGGCGUGCCUAAUACAUGCAAGUCGAACGCAAAACUUUUAACUGAUGCUUGCAUCGACCUAAAGUUUUGAGUGGCGGACGGGUGAGUAACACGUGGGUAACCUGCCCAUCAGAGGGGGACAACACUUGGAAACAGGUGCUAAUACCGCAUAAUACAGAGAACCGCAUGGUUCUUUGUUGAAAGGCGCUUCUGGUGUCGCUGAUGGAUGGACCCGCGGUGCAUUAGCUAGACGGUGAGGUAACGGCUCACCGUGGCAAUGAUGCAUAGCCGACCUGAGAGGGUGAUCGGCCACAUUGGGACUGAGACACGGCCCAAACUCCUACGGGAGGCAGCAGUAGGGAAUCUUCGGCAAUGGACGAAAGUCUGACCGAGCAACGCCGCGUGAGUGAAGAAGGUUUUCGGAUCGUAAAACUCUGUUGUUAGAGAAGAACAGGAGCGAUAGUAACUGCUCGCUCUUUGACGGUAUCUAACCAGAAAGCCACGGCUAACUACGUGCCAGCAGCCGCGGUAAUACGUAGGUGGCAAGCGUUGUCCGGAUUUAUUGGGCGUAAAGCGAGCGCAGGCGGUCUUUUAAGUCUGAUGUGAAAGCCCACGGCUUAACCGUGGAGGGUCAUUGGAAACUGGGAGACUUGAGUGCAGAAGAGGAAAGUGGAACUCCAUGUGUAGCGGUGGAAUGCGUAGAUAUAUGGAAGAACACCAGUGGCGAAGGCGGCUUUCUGGUCUGUAACUGACGCUGAGGCUCGAAAGCGUGGGGAGCAAACAGGAUUAGAUACCCUGGUAGU